UUCAACGACCGUACCGCAAACCGACACUGGUGCGCGAGAUGAGUAUUCUAAGGCGCUUGAGAGAACUCAGGAGAAGGAACUCGGCAAAUUGACACCGUAACUUCGGAAGAAGGUGUGCCCUAUUAGUGUGAAGUGAACAACGGAGCAUGAAUGGGUUGCAAAAAAUCGGUGGCUGCGACUGUUUAUUAAAAACACAGCACUCUGCAAACACGAAAGUGGACGUAUAGGGUGUGACGCCUGCCCGGUGCUGGAAGAUUAAAUGAUGGGGUGCAAGCUCUUGAUUGAAGUCCCAGUAAACGGCGGCCGUAACGAUAACGGUCCUAAGGUAGCGAAAUUCCUUGUCGGGUAAGUUCCGACCUGCACGAAUGGCGUAACGAUGGCCACACUGUCUCCUCCUGAGACUCAGCGAAGUUGAAAUGUUUGUGAUGAUGCAAUCUCCCCGCGGAAAGACGGAAAGACCCCAUGAACCUUUACUGUAGCUUUGUAUUGGACUUUGAACAGAUCUGUGUAGGAUAGGUGGGAGGCUUUGAAGCAGGGUCGCUAGAUCUUGUGGAGCCAACGUUGAAAUACCACCCUGGUGUGUUUGAGGUUCUAACCUAGGUCCAUUAUCUGGAUCGGGGACAGUGCAUGGUAGGCAGUUUGACUGGGGCGGUCUCCUCCCAAAGCGUAACGGAGGAGUUCGAAGGUACGCUAGUUACGGUCGGACAUCGUGACGAUAGUGCAAUGGCAUAAGCGUGCUUAACUGCGAGACUGACAAGUCGAGCAGAUGCGAAAGCAGGACAUAGUGAUCCGGUGGUUCUGUAUGGAAGGGCCAUCGCUCAACGGAUAAAAGGUACUCUGGGGAUAACAGGCUGAUACCGCCCAAGAGUUCAUAUCGACGGCGGUGUUUGGCACCUCGAUGUCGGCUCAUCUCAUCCUGGGGCUGUAGCCGGUCCCAAGGGUAUGGCUGUUCGCCAUUUAAAGAGGUACGUGAGCUGGGUUUAAAACGUCGUGAGACAGUUUGGUCCCUAUCUUCCGUGGGCGCUGCAGAUUUGAGAAGCCUGCUCCUAGUACGAGAGGACCGGAGUGGACACACCUCUGGUGUAUCGGUUGUCACGCCAGUGGCAUUGCCGAGUAGCUAAGUGUGGAAGAGAUAACCGCUGAAAGCAUCUAAGCGGGAAACUCGUUUCAAGAUGAGAUCUGCCGGGGCCUUGAGCCCCCUGAAGAGUCGUUCAAGACCAGGACGUUGAUAGGUCAGGUGUGGAAGCGCAGUAAUGCGUUAAGCUAACUGAUACUAAUUGCUCGUGCGGCUUGACC
RNAcentral lists this ribosomal RNA (1296 nucleotides) under metagenome. RNAcentral's name for it is "bacterial LSU rRNA". It matches the Rfam family "Bacterial large subunit ribosomal RNA", at positions 1634 to 2925 of the family's 2925-position model. The record is from RNAcentral.